This 211-nucleotide long non-coding RNA is filed under the name Elaeis guineensis (African oil palm). RNAcentral describes it as "long non-coding RNA (EGUI_LNC045741)". The record is from RNAcentral. Lineage: Eukaryota; Viridiplantae; Streptophyta; Magnoliopsida; Arecales; Arecaceae.
UUAGACUCUGACCCAACUUGAAAGAGUUUCAAGUGUGGAAGAAAACCUCCAUGUCACUCUAGUUUCAUGCCAUAAAUUAAAUAUCACCACCCUCUUUUUAGCGUUGAGAAGAAGAAGAGUCUUUUUUCUUUAAGACUGUUAACCACUUCUUAAAUUUCUAAGAAUUCCUCUAAUGUCACAUGCCUAAAAUAAAUGAUAGAAUUAUGGGGCA